RNAcentral lists this transfer RNA (64 nucleotides) under Cornitermes pugnax. RNAcentral's name for it is "tRNA-Glu". It matches the Rfam family "tRNA". Rfam says of the family: Transfer RNA (tRNA) molecules are approximately 80 nucleotides in length. Their secondary structure includes four short double-helical elements and three loops (D, anti-codon, and T loops). Lineage: Eukaryota; Metazoa; Arthropoda; Insecta; Blattodea; Termitidae. The record is from RNAcentral.
AUUUAUAUAGUUUAAAAAAACAUUACACUUUCACUGUAAAGAUAAAGAAAAACUUUUAUAAAUA